ACGCCGAGCUCAUCGCUCUAGCCGAAGGAGGCGCGAUGGCUCCGCAGCGGCGGGCGCUGCCCCGCGGCCCCGACAGCGCCGGGCCGGGGCCGGGGCCGGGCCGCGGCGGCCGCCGGCACAGCAGCGCUAGGAAGGGCAGAUUCCAGCAGGAUCCCCGGGGAAGGUGGCUGAAGGCAGCGAUCCUCCUGCUGCUGUCCGCUGCGGCCGGCGGCGGCCUCGUGGUGUGGAGCCGCCUCCGCGCCGAGGGUGGGAUCCCCGAGGGUGGAACCCCUGGAGAGGCGGUCACCGAGGUGCUGGCACAUCGCAGCGACAGCCUGCGGGACAAGUUCGUCGAGAUCCCCUGCUCGGAGGACUACGACAGGCACAAACGAUUUGAAGGGUGCACUCCUAGGAAGUGUGGAAGAGGUGUGACCGAUGCUGUAAUCACAAGGGAAGAAGCUGAAAGAAUUCGUAGAAUAGCAGAGAGGGGACUGUCCUUGGGAGGAUCUGAUGGAGGGGCAUCAAUUUUGGAUUUGCACUCUGGAGCUCUUUCCCUGGGGAAGCAUUUUGUUAAUCUGUACAGGUACUUUGGGGACAAAAUUCAGGACAUCUUCACAGAAGAGGAUUUUGCCUUAUACCGGGAUGUGAGACAGAGGAUCCAGCAAAGGAUUGCUCAGGUGUUUGGUAUCAGCUCUUCUGCCAUGUACCUGACUAAGCCAACGUUCUUCUCCAGAAUGAACAGCACAGGAGCCAAGACAACACACGAUGAGUACUGGCAUCCACACGUUGACAAGGUGACUUAUGGCUCUUUUGACUACACUUCUCUGCUCUAUCUCUCUGACUACUCUGAAGACUUCGGGGGUGGCCGGUUCGUGUUCAUGGAUGCAGAUUCCAACAAGACAGUGGAGCCCCGAGCAGAAUGACUCUGGGGCUGCCUAGAGAGGAGCUCAGCCUCGGCUCAUCUGUCUGGCAGCAGUGUGGCUGAUCUUGCAAGACAUAAAAGAUGGAAAUUUACUCAUUUAAAGAGCCUCAGUAAUUGUCUGCUGCCAGGCAUUACCCCAAGCAGAACUGACUUCAGACCACUGCUGCCUGCAAAUUGGGAUGGGAGUUUUUUGACUUACGGAUCAUAGCGAUCCACUCACCUGCAGUGAGGCUGCUUUAGAUAAACUCUGAGAUUACCUGCAUUCUGGGUUUGCUGUUCAAGAAUUGUGUGUUUGAUUAUUUUGUUUUUUCUGACUGGAAAUGAACUCUAAACUGAAAGCAUCAUCUUUUGCAAAAUGCUGCCGCCAGUAUUUUGGAAGGGAGCAGAUUAAACUGUUCCGUUUCCAGAUGCAAUUCUAAGAUUACCAGGUUUUUAUAGCUGUAGAAAUCACAGCUGAAUUCUAGGUACGUGAGGAGAGCUGUCUCCUCAGUGCAGGGGCACUCAGCCUGGCUGCAGUGUGCAAUGUGCCCCUGACUUAAUUUCCAAAAGUCUGUAACUCUGCAAUUGCUUCCAUUCAGCCCCAUGUGUUAAUUUGCAGGUUUUCUGCUGCAGGGUCUUUACUCUUUGUCGUUUUGGAGGAAAAAGGGGAAGCUGAUGAAACACAGAAUUUCUUUUUUGGCUGUUCCCUUUGCCAGGGGGUUGUAUGGGCAACAUGUGCCACAGGACACACCUGAAACAAAACAAUGCACAGCUCGUAGGGAAUAGCACAACUGUGCUUCACGGACACAAGAGAAAAUUAAUCUUAAUGCCAGUUACACUUUUCCAACACAACUCUGUGUUACCACAGUUGUCAGGGGUCCUGUGAUUGUGUCACAACCUCUGGUGCACAAGUACCACUGAUGUCCUGUGAGCAAAGGGGAAAAACUUUAGAGGUGAAGCACAGUGCGAAGGCAUUUGCACUUGUUUUUCCUCUUGCUGAUAAAAUGUGUUUUGUGAAAGAAUGACCCCAGGCUGUUUUCUGUCGCUGGUACAAGUUGAUGUAUUUUUCAUGUUCAUAAUGUUCCUCUGCAGUGUUUUUUCUCUCCUGUCUUUUUGGCUUUUGUUUGUUUUGUUUUACGCUUGUUUUGAUCCUUUGUGCUUCUCUUGUCACUCCAGCUCAACUUUUAAAACCACAUGUUGAUGAUCUUUCACGCUUCUCAUUUAGGAGCUCCAGGCUUUUAUAGGAUGACUGUCAUAAUCACUGGUUCAGUUUUCAUGCUUGACAGCUAAUUUACUUUUCUGUAUUGCUUAUGCCACUGCAGUCCUGAAACCUGGCACUUCUUGUUGUCUCAUACUUAGCCUGCAUUUUGAGGACCUGAUACUGUGUGCCAAAAUGAGCAGGUUUCUUUUUCUGUGAGCAGCAAUUUGUUCAAGUGUCAGUGGGGAGCAGAAAGGCAUUGUUAGUGAUACAGCAGAGCAGAAAAGGAGUAAUUGGAAAUACAAGAAAAAGCAAUUAAAAAUAAAACAUUGUGGGAUGUCCUGUGUUUGAAAGUGCUGCCUGGGCAAGUCCCACUGCUGCUGCAUAUGCAUUUGCAGCACUUUACUGAUGAGGAUCAGUGUCAGCCAGGCAGCUGGGGACAGGGAGAACUGUUCUGCUAGGAGUGGAGCAUAAAUUAAAUUGCUUAUCACUUCCCUCAGUGUAGAUCACUUGCAGAUUACCUAAGAUGUCUGUAAGUCCUGACUCUCACAUAUUUGACUGAAAGACUCUCUAAUUUGUAGGAUGAUCUUUAACAUCCCCCAGUUUGGUUGUUGGCAAACAUUAGCUUUAAGAAGGAAUUAUAAUUUAUUAACCUUGAGGCUCUUGAGAUUAUUUUCUUUUUAACAGAAAUGAACAAGUCAGCACCAGUUCAAGUGUACAGACCUUUGGCUAAUUCAUAACCAAACGUGGCAUGAAGGAACACAUCUUUCUUGUGCCCUGAUGGGCUUCAGAAGUGAAUAUGUGUCUUUUGACUUCAGUCAGGACCUCUGUCUGCCACAAGAAACUCACUGUACCACGAGGAAGAGAAUUCCUAGUGCCAAGGGAAAUAUGACUUUGAAAAGAAAACAUUUUUUGGUGACAUAGAAACAGAUCUGAAGUCGCAUCUGUGCCUUUUAAAUAUAUAUGGAAAUUCUGUUUCCAAAAUUGUCAUACUGGGAUUUUUUUUCCACCCCUCACACCAGGGUUGGCUCUGUUUUUGAGAGACUAUAAGAAAGAGAGCAACAUUUUGAAUGAGGUCCUUCAAAAUGAAGCCCUUUCAACAUUAACUCUUUUUGCUGGUCUGAGACAUGAUUUAGUAAUCUGCAAGACAUACAGGAGGAUUAAAAAUAAAUGGCAGACAUCAAGGCUUUCCUUUUUCAGUCACAAAAUUGGUAUAUUUUCUGCUGCUGCUAAACUUGUCAGUGUUUGAAGUUUCAUAUUUUAAAAUUCCAUAUUUAAAAUUUCAUCAUUUUACAGAGUCUUGUGUGAAUUUGGGGUCUGGCAGUAUGAGACAGGUCAGACUUCGCUUGAUCACGAAGUGUAGAUGAAACUCUGCUGUUGGAAUGAAAUCUCAGUACUGGUUCUGUGUUCCUUAUUUGCAUGUGCAUUUCUUGGUUUGAAGGUCAGCUUUGCUGCACUUACUUUCAGCUUACAAGGGAAUUUGUUCUUCAUACAAGUCAUUUAUUAUACAAAGGCAGAAGGAAAGGUCGCAGUCACUUCUGUGUGUUUCUGGAAGAAAAUAAUCUGGGGUGCAAAAUGAAUUCUGUACAUUGGAGUCUGAAAUGUGACUCCUCCUUUAAUACCAGACUUAACAUAUUCUCACAGCUGUCAGAAGUGGGUGUUUCUGGAAGUGUAAAAUAUUUGAUUUGAAGGUAUAAGAUAUUUGGGAAGUUCCCCCCAUAUAGAUAGUCUCAUCUUUCUCUGUAUUCAAUCCACAUCAUCCAGAUUCAGUCUAGAGCAUUAUAAUCUUCUGCCAAUCCUAGCUUUAGUUUUGCUCCAAUCAGUAAAAAAUUGGAGCACAUCUUGAAGUUGAAUCAGUAUCAGCUGAAAGCUGAGAAUGUUUUUUUAAAAAUCCACAGAAGUAGCUGUCAGUUCUGCUGAGGAACAAAUGGAGCCAGCAUGAGCAGCUGCAGUGAGCACCAGCCAUGCAAAGGACAGCAAUUCUUACUGAUUUGCAAUACUCAUCACAAAUUGUGCCAGGGACUGGUGAGGUGAUUGCAAAGAGAAGUGGUAGGAAAAGGAGGACCUGCUGCAGUCAUGUCAAAAAGACAUAGAAAAUAGCUCCUUAUUUCUCUGUAGAACUUGCUUUUUGUUUUGUUAUCUGUGGAAGAGUAACUGUCUUCCAGGCAGGUUUUGUAUUCUAACGGUGUUUGAUGACAGGUUGACAAUGGCAUUAAAUGAAACACUGUUUUAACUGGGCCCAUAAAGCAGUAGGUACCUGGGAGUGCAGGUCAGACCUGCACCUAACAUGGUGUUCCUGUGAGUGACUUCUGAUAAAUUCACUGCCUUGUUGAGGCAGCUGUUCCUGAGGGGAGCAGUGGUCACCUCACACUGCCUGGAGCAUGAAAGGAUUGAGGAAUUCUGGGGGAAGAGUUGUCCUGUGUUAGUGUUCCACAGAGCAUUGUGAAGCACUGUCAGCAUUGAGAAUUGUCCUCUAAGGAUUUUCCCCUGCCAUGGAAGACUUGCUUAUAAAGGACCACACGUAGCAUGUCCCAUUUGUGCCUUUAUGUAAUCCAUGUGCAGGCCAAUAUUUCCUGAAUUUGAGUUGAUACUGGUCAAGAAAAUAUGCAGCAAAGCUGAAGGUAGAAAGCAGUGGAGAAUCAGCUUCAAAGAGUUACUCCGUGAAAUUCAGGUAAUAUAACAGGUGAAGUAAAAUAAAAUACCAGGUUCAGCUGUGUCAGACUGUGGUUCAGUAGUGAGAGUUCAUUUCUUGGUUCCUAGGCCAUGUGUGAAUGUCACAUGCCACAGAUGCUCUGAUGGAGCCUCUUUAAGGGCCAUUUUUGGAAUCAUUGAGCAGCAGAGCUCAAUGUGCUUAUGCUUCAGUGAUUUACUAAAAGUAAGGACGAAUUCCUUCUCUAUCAGAAGCCCAAAACCCAGAACUUUGGCAUCCAUGUGAUUGGACCACAGCUCUACUGGACAUGCCAUGUUUGGCAAGGUCAGGAAAAGUCAGAUAGAUGAUCCUGAGGUUGUUUAAUGUGACUGAAGUUGCAACACUUUGUUCUUAGUGAGAACUUUUUGUAGGAGGCCAGUUCUGAGCCCUUGUGCAGCUGCUCUGACAGGGAGAGCAGAGCAGACCUGGCAGCACUGGUUGGGUGAGGUUGAGCACUGGAGGGGAGAACUGGGAGACAGAGCCAGGGUGAUAUCCCUGUCCUUCUCUUGGCUCUAGGGAGAAGAGAUGGAGCCAAAAGGCCUUGGGGAGACUCAUUAUUGAUUUGGAGAGAGCAAUUACUCAGUUUUCACUUCUAAAUACUCCCCAGGGUUGUCACACCUUCAGACGGAGUGGAAACUGCUGUGAUUUUGAGCAACCAACUGUGCUGGUAGGAGAGAAGCAGACAGGGAUUCUGUUGAUGUGUAAAAAUGUUCAUACACUUUUAGCAGGAAGUAAGUAAGUUCAUUAAUUUUCUUUAAAAACUGUAAUUUAGAAGUUUUCCAGGCCCAUCUGAAUUUAAAGUAGAAGCAGCUACUUUUUUGAGAGUCUUGUUAAUACUUCAAAUUACAAGCCGGCUGUGGGAGACUUCACUAUGUGAAUCAGUGAUUUUAUUUAUAACAGCAAGUAAUCUCUGUCUAGUAACUAAAUGUGGGACAAGUUUGUAACUAGGCUUUGAUACCCAUUGCAGGUAGUUUUUUGUUUGGGGUUUCAUUUUUAGGCCAUAGGGAUUUUUAUUCUUCUGUGCUUGACAUAAAUGUAGCAAAAUUGUUCAGAGAAGCUUGUGCCCUCUCUUCUGGUGUGCUCUCUUCACCCCAGAGUAGGGCACUUGCAGACAUUGUCAGUCCACAUUCCUUUUGUGGGGUUUGCUUAAAGGACUUGCUUAAAUUCUGCCCAUUCAACUUUUUUUUCUAUAAGUAAUUGAAUAAGUGUAUCUGUUAAAUAAGUUUUGUUGCAUGCUUGCAGAAAACAUUAUUAUCAGUUUAUCUGCCUAAUGAUAUGAUGGGUUUUUUGGACACUCUACAUGAGAAUGAAUUGGUGAUUAAUCCUAAACAGAUGACGAGGAUGAGAACACAACUGUUGUGCAUUUUCCCUGGCAGUGCUUCUGUCUGGGUGUCAUUCAGCAGAUGAGAUGCAGUUUUUCCUUCUUUCCUGAGUAACUUUUAGAGCUGAUAAAUGCUAGGCAGCCAGUGGAAGCUGUCAGUGCAUAAGAUGAAAGAUGUUGACUAGAUCUGUGGUGCCAAAUAAACUGUUCUGCUUCCCUUUAA
This is an RNA transcript of Corvus hawaiiensis (hawaiian crow), 6311 nucleotides long. It is a transcript of the gene named 2-oxoglutarate and iron dependent oxygenase domain containing 3, with no coding region annotated. The transcript is spliced from 10 exons. The record is from RefSeq and is a predicted model, not a curated record. NCBI's taxonomy places the organism in Eukaryota, Metazoa, Chordata, Aves, Passeriformes, Corvidae.